RNAcentral lists this ribosomal RNA (379 nucleotides) under uncultured bacterium. Its description in RNAcentral is "bacterial SSU rRNA". It matches the Rfam family "Bacterial small subunit ribosomal RNA", at positions 521 to 896 of the family's 1533-position model. The record is from RNAcentral.
UAAUACAGAGGGGGCAAGCGUUGUCCGGAUUUACUGGGCGUACAGCGCGCGCAGGCGGACCUGGACGUGCCGUGUGACAGCCCACCGCUCACCGGUGGAAGGCCACGGUACACGACAGGUCUGGAGGCAGGGAGAGGGAUGUGGAAUGCCCGGUGGAGCGGUGAAAUGCGUAGAGAUCGGGCGGAACACCAGCGGCGAAGGCGGCAUCCUGGCCCUGACCUGACGCUGAGGCGCGAGAGCGUGGGGAGCAAACUGGAUUAGAUACCCAGGUAGUCCACGCCGUAAACGAUGUGUACCCGGCGCUGGGGAGUGAUUGCGCUCCUCGGUGCCUGCGCUUACGCACUGAGUACACCGCCUGGGGACUACGGCCGCAAGGCUA